RNAcentral lists this ribosomal RNA (272 nucleotides) under uncultured Ascomycota. RNAcentral describes it as "partial 18S ribosomal RNA". It matches the Rfam family "Eukaryotic small subunit ribosomal RNA", at positions 548 to 827 of the family's 1831-position model. The record is from RNAcentral. Lineage: Eukaryota; Fungi; Ascomycota.
UUGGAGGGCAAGUCUGGUGCCAGCAGCCGCGGUAAUUCCAGCUCCAAUAGCGUAUAUUAAAGUUGUUGUGGUUAAAAAGCUCGUAGUUGAACCUUGGGCCUGGCUGGCCGGUCCGCCUCACCGCGUGUACUGGUCCGGCCGGGCCUUUCCCUCUGUGGAACCCCAUGCCCUCCACUGGGUGUGGCGGGGAAACNGGACUUUUACNGUGAAAAAAUUGAGUGCUCCAGGCAGGCCUAUGCUCGAAUACAUUAGCAUGGAAUAAUAGAAUAGGA